Non-coding RNA from Cucurbita pepo subsp. pepo (vegetable marrow), 1148 nucleotides. NCBI's taxonomy places the organism in Eukaryota, Viridiplantae, Streptophyta, Magnoliopsida, Cucurbitales, Cucurbitaceae. The record is from RefSeq and is a predicted model, not a curated record.
UAUACAACGAGUUUCUUCGGAUUCAAGGGCUACCGAAAAUCUCCUACUUCGCGCCCCUCGAAUCAUGAGGUCUGUAAUUUAUCUUCCCUCUCUGACUCGAACUACUCCUCAAGACAAGAUUAGGGAACCUUUCACAUCGACAAAGAUAACAACAAUCAAAAGUUUUGUUUCCGGGCACCUCUUAGUACUUCUCCUUUGCAUCUGCUUUCAUUUUGUUUCAUUUGAAUCUCUAUAUAACUUGCUCUUCCGUCCAUAGUUUCAACAAAACCAUUAGCUAACUUGGAGGCACUGAUAAACUUUUGGCUGCUGCAUUUUUCAACGCUCAAAAACCAUAUAUGUGAAGGAGAAUCCUUUGCUGGUUGUUUUCAUCCACAUGAUUUUGUCCACAAUAAUUGUCUUAUUGUCUUAACAGGGAGCCCACUUAUUGCAAUUUGCAGACUCUUCGUGUAAUUUAGGUAAAGUUUCAUGUUCUUUGUUCUUUUGCUUCUUUUUCAGGUUUUUCUCUUUAACACAUCAUGGGUUUCAUUCUCUCUCUUCCAUUAUUUCACUUCCUAAGUAACAUUUAUUUCUUUUUUUAAUACAAUUUUUGUUUCUUUGGUAGGAUAUUAACUCGAAAUUAAUUAUUUAGUGCACCAUAACGUGUAAUAUGUUCUUCCUUUAUAUUAUUUUGUUCUUGGUUGUGCGUUUAUGACUCAGUCUUAGGAUAGAGUAGAUAGCUGAAUCAGAAUUAUAAUCAUCUUAUUUAUUCUUUGGAGUGCAUUUAUGACCCAAUUUUGGGACAGGGCAGAUAGCUGAAUCAUAAUAAUAAUAAUCAUCUUAUCCAUUGAGUUACCCAGCCAAGCCAUGGGUCAUUGCUGAUAGAUAUUGUCUUUUUUGAAUUUUUCUUUUUCGGCUUCUCCUCAAAGUUUUGAGUUUGUGAUUGUCUAAGUCUAUUGCUAACAGAUAUUGUUCUUUUUGUGCUUUUCCUUAUGAUUGUCUAAGUCUAUUGCUAGUAGAUAUUGUUCUUUUUGUGCUUUUUCGUGUGAUUGUCUAAGUCUAUUGCUAGCUGAUAUCGUUCUUUUUGUGCUUUUCCUUUCAAGUCUGUUAGGUAGAAGUUUUCACAUCUCAAUAAAGAAUGUUUUGUUUCCUUCUCCAACUGACGUGGGAUC